GGGCCCGCACAAGCGGUGGAGCAUGUGGUUUAAUUCGAUGCAACGCGAAGAACCUUACCUACUCUUGACAUCCAGAGAAGCCAGCGGAGACGCAGGUGUGCCUUCGGGAACUCUGAGACAGGUGCUGCAUGGCUGUCGUCAGCUCGUGUUGUGAAAUGUUGGGUUAAGUCCCGCAACGAGCGCAACCCUUAUCCUUGUUUGCCAGCGAGUAAUGUCGGGAACUCCAGGGAGACUGCCGGUGAUAAACCGGAGGAAGGUGGGGACGACGUCAAGUCAUCAUGGCCCUUACGAGUAGGGCUACACACGUGCUACAAUGGCGCAUACAGAGGGCAGCAAGCUAGCGAUAGUAAGCGAAUCCCAAAAAGUGCGUCGUAGUCCGGAUCGGAGUCUGCAACUCGACUCCGUGAAGUCGGAAUCGCUAGUAAUCG
RNAcentral lists this ribosomal RNA (428 nucleotides) under uncultured bacterium. RNAcentral describes it as "bacterial SSU rRNA". It matches the Rfam family "Bacterial small subunit ribosomal RNA", at positions 917 to 1344 of the family's 1533-position model. The record is from RNAcentral.